Molecule: ribosomal RNA, 126 nt
Filed under: Clostridioides difficile
Lineage: Bacteria; Bacillati; Bacillota; Clostridia; Peptostreptococcales; Peptostreptococcaceae
Description: partial 23S ribosomal RNA
Rfam family: Bacterial large subunit ribosomal RNA
Source: RNAcentral
UAAUAUAAGAUUUCCCACCGCAAGGGUAAGACCCCAGAAAGACUAUCUGGUUGAUAGGUCGAAGGUGUAAGUGCAGCAAUGUAUUUAGCUUAUCGAUACUAAUAGGUCGAGGACUUGACCAAUAUU